AUAUGUAGGACUCGGAGGUGCGAUGGGGACGCUGAAGUGCGAUGGUCACGCUGAAGUGCGAUGGUCCACGCCGAAGUACGAUGGUCCUUUCGCUGAAGUGCGAUGGUUUUGAGUAUGACGUUUGAAUAAUAUGACGUUUUCAAAAUACAACAUGGAUUCGCAGGCAGAAGAAUAGCGUUUUGUAGAUGAAGGUUUCAUGCUAACAAAGAAAAGUAAGGAAAUAAGAAAGAAACAAACAAUUAAAGUCCCGAACAGUUUUAAGCAUUGCAUGUUGAGGUUAAAAAAAUAUGUUAAAACAUGUUAGGCAGCAAAGCCGCUGAAAGAUGAACUUCGUCACCAAAUGGGCUAACCAAAAUUUUGAAUUAUCCC
RNAcentral lists this long non-coding RNA (369 nucleotides) under Mytilus galloprovincialis (Mediterranean mussel). Lineage: Eukaryota; Metazoa; Mollusca; Bivalvia; Mytilida; Mytilidae. The record is from RNAcentral.